RNAcentral lists this long non-coding RNA (207 nucleotides) under Carica papaya (papaya). RNAcentral describes it as "long non-coding RNA (CPAP_LNC006001)". Lineage: Eukaryota; Viridiplantae; Streptophyta; Magnoliopsida; Brassicales; Caricaceae. The record is from RNAcentral.
CUGAUACUGUAUGUUGUCUGUUUGGCAUGAACUACUGUUUGCUUGUUUGUAUGUGAAUUGAUGAUGCUUAUUGAGGAAAAGGAAAAUGAAAGAUUGUGUAGACUGAUAAUUGUAUGAUGGGGUCAGCCUGACUAGAUAUCCUGGGAGAUGGUGGACGGACCGGGUCCGUAGGGAACCCUACCGGGAUUGUGGUCUCACAUGCCGGAC